This 1471-nucleotide ribosomal RNA is filed under the name uncultured organism. RNAcentral describes it as "SSU rRNA". It matches the Rfam family "Bacterial small subunit ribosomal RNA". The record is from RNAcentral.
AUGGCUCAGGACGAACGCUGGCGGCGUGCCUAAUACAUGCAAGUAGAACGCUGAAGAGAGGAGCUUGCUCUUCUUGGAUGAGUUGCGAACGGGUGAGUAACGCGUAGGUAACCUGCCUUGUAGCGGGGGAUAACUAUUGGAAACGAUAGCUAAUACCGCAUAACAAUGGAUGACACAUGUCAUUUAUUUGAAAGGGGCAAUUGCUCCACUACAAGAUGGACCUGCGUUGUAUUAGCUAGUAGGUGAGGUAAUGGCACACCUAGGCGACGAUACAUAGCCGACCUGAGAGGGUGAUCGGCCACACUGGGACUGAGACACGGCCCAGACUCCUACGGGAGGCAGCAGUAGGGAAUCUUCGGCAAUGGGGGCAACCCUGACCGAGCAACGCCGCGUGAGUGAAGAAGGUUUUCGGAUCGUAAAGCUCUGUUGUAAGUCAAGAACGGGUGUGAGAGUGGAAAGUUCACACUAUGACGGUAGCUUACCAGAAAGGGACGGCUAACUACGUGCCAGCAGCCGCGGUAAUACGUAGGUCCCGAGCGUUGUCCGGAUUUAUUGGGCGUAAAGCGAGCGCAGGCGGUUUGAUAAGUCUGAAGUUAAAGGCUGUGGCUCAACCAUAGUUCGCUUUGGAAACUGUCAAACUUGAGUGCAGAAGGGGAGAGUGGAAUUCCAUGUGUAGCGGUGAAAUGCGUAGAUAUAUGGAGGAACACCGGUGGCGAAAGCGGCUCUCUGGUCUGUAACUGACGCUGAGGCUCGAAAGCGUGGGGAGCGAACAGGAUUAGAUACCCUGGUAGUCCACGCCGUAAACGAUGAGUGCUAGGUGUUGGAUCCUUUCCGGGAUUCAGCGCCGCAGCUAACGCAUUAAGCACUCCGCCUGGGGAGUACGACCGCAAGGUUGAAACUCAAAGGAAUUGACGGGGGCCCGCACAAGCGGUGGAGCAUGUGGUUUAAUUCGAAGCAACGCGAAGAACCUUACCAGGUCUUGACAUCCCGAUGCUAUUUCUAGAGAUAGAAAGUUACUUCGGUACAUCGGUGACAGGUGGUGCAUGGUUGUCGUCAGCUCGUGUCGUGAGAUGCUGGGUUAAGUCCCGCAACGAGCGCAACCCCUAUUGUUAGUUGCCAUCAUUCGGUUGGGCACUCUAGCGAGACUGCCGGUAAUAAACCGGAGGAAGGUGGGGAUGACGUCAAAUCAUCAUGCCCCUUAUGACCUGGGCUACACACGUGCUACAAUGGUUGGUACAACGAGUUGCGAGUCGGUGACGGCGAGCUAAUCUCUUAAAGCCAAUCUCAGUUCGGAUUGUAGGCUGCAACUCGCCUACAUGAAGUCGGAAUCGCUAGUAAUCGCGGAUCAGCACGCCGCGGUGAACACGUUCCCGGGCCUUGUACACACCGCCCGUCACACCACGAGAGUUUGUAACACCCGAAGUCGGUGAGGUAACCUUUUGGAGCCAGCCGCCUAAGGUGGGACAGAUGA